GAUGAACGCUGGCGGCGUGCCUAAUACAUGCAAGUCGAGCGAACAGAUGAGGAGCUUGCUCCUCUGACGUUAGCGGCGGACGGGUGAGUAACACGUGGAUAACCUACCUAUAAGACUGGGAUCACUUCGGGAAACCGGAGCUAAUACCGGAUAAUAUAUUGAACCGCAUGGUUCAAUAGUGAAAGACGGUUUUGCUGUCACUUAUCGAUGGAUCCGCGCCGCAUUAGCUAGUUGGUAAGGUAACGGCUUACCAAGGCAACGAUGCGUAGCCGACCUGAGAGGGUGAUCGGCCACACUGGAACUGAGACACGGUCCAGACUCCUACGGGAGGCAGCAGUAGGGAAUCUUCCGCAAUGGGCGAAAGCCUGACGGAGCAACGCCGCGUGAGUGAUGAAGGUCUUCGGAUCGUAAAACUCUGUUAUUAGGGAAGAACAAAUGUGGAAUUAACUAUGCACGUAUUGACGGUACCUAAUCAAAAAGCAACGGCUAACUACGUG
This 497-nucleotide ribosomal RNA is filed under the name uncultured bacterium. Its description in RNAcentral is "partial 16S ribosomal RNA". It matches the Rfam family "Bacterial small subunit ribosomal RNA", at positions 28 to 507 of the family's 1533-position model. The record is from RNAcentral.